RNAcentral lists this ribosomal RNA (387 nucleotides) under Paraphysomonas sp. RNAcentral's name for it is "SSU rRNA". It matches the Rfam family "Eukaryotic small subunit ribosomal RNA", at positions 52 to 446 of the family's 1831-position model. Lineage: Eukaryota; Chrysophyceae; Chromulinales; Paraphysomonadaceae. The record is from RNAcentral.
UGCAUGUCUAAGUAUAAACAAAUCUAUACUGUGAAACUGCGAAUGGCUCAUUAUAUCAGUUAUAGUUUAUUUGAUGGUUCUUGCUACUUGGAUAACCGUAGUAAUUCUAGAGCUAAUACAUGCAUCAAACCUCGACUUUUUUGGAAGAUGUGUAUUUAUUAGAUGGAAACCAAUGCGGGGCCACCCGGAUUCAGGUGAUUCAUAAUAACUUUCGGAUCGAUCUUCGGAUCGAUGCAUCAUUCAAGUUUCUGCCCUAUCAGCUUUGGAUGGUAGGGUAUUGGCCUACCAUGGCUUUAACGGGUAACGGAGAAUUAUGCCUCGAUUCCGGAGAGGGACCUGAGAAACGGCUACCACAUCCAAGGAAGGCAGCAGGCGCGUAAAUUACCC